UCAACCAUCAAGCCUGGCUUGUCGUUGGACCUGUGGUCAUCACGACCGGUCCGAAAGAUAAUGGACGGCGGUGAUUAGCCCCCGAUGCAACGAGCUUUUAAUAGCACGCAUUGAAGGGGUUGGUCACCCCGGCCUCACACUCCAUUUUCUCA
RNAcentral lists this unclassified non-coding RNA (152 nucleotides) under uncultured Chaetothyriales. RNAcentral's name for it is "sequence contains ITS2". Lineage: Eukaryota; Fungi; Ascomycota; Eurotiomycetes; Chaetothyriales. The record is from RNAcentral.